Molecule: ribosomal RNA, 478 nt
Filed under: uncultured bacterium
Lineage: Bacteria
Description: partial 16S ribosomal RNA
Rfam family: Bacterial small subunit ribosomal RNA
Source: RNAcentral
GACGAACGCUGGCGGCGUGCUUAACACAUGCAAGUCGAACGGUAAGGCCCUUCGGGGUACACGAGUGGCGAACGGGUGAGUAACACGUGGGUGAUCUGCCCUGCACUUCGGGAUAAGCCUGGGAAACUGGGUCAAAUACCGGAUAGGACCACUGCCUGCAUGGGAGGUGGUGGAAAGCUUUUGCGGUGUGGGAUGGGCCCGCGGCCUAUCAGCUUGUUGGUGGGGUGGUGGCCUACCAAGGCGACGACGGGUAGCCGGCCUGAGAGGGUGAACGGCCACACUGGGUCUGAGAUACGGCCCAGACUCCUACGGGAGGCAGCAGUGGGGAAUAUUGCACAAUGGGCGCAAGCCUGAUGCAGCGACGCCGCGUGAGGGAUGACGGCCUUCGGGUUGUAAACCUCUUUCAGCACCGACGAAGCGCAAGUGACGGUAGGUGCAGAAGAAGGACCGGCCAACUACGUGCCAGCCGCCGCGGUAA